ACACUCCUGCGGGAGGCAGCAGUGGGGAAUUUUGGACAAUGGGCGAAAGCCUGAUCCAGCCAUGCCGCGUGCAGGAUGAAGGCCUUCGGGUUGUAAACUGCUUUUGUACGGAACGAAACGGCCUUUUCUAAUAAAGAGGGCUAAUGACGGUACCGUAAGAAUAAGCACCGGCUAACUACGUGCCAGCAGCCGCGGUAAUACGUAGGGUGCAAGCGUUAAUCGGAAUUACUGGGCGUAAAGCGUGCGCAGGCGGUUAUGUAAGACAGUUGUGAAAUCCCCGGGCUCAACCUGGGAACUGCAUCUGUGACUGCAUAGCUAGAGUACGGUAGAGGGGGAUGGAAUUCCGCGUGUAGCAGUGAAAUGCGUAGAUAUGCGGAGGAACACCGAUGGCGAAGGCAAUCCCCUGGACCUGUACUGACGCUCAUGCACGAAAGCGUGGGGAGCAAACAGGAUUAGAUACCCGUGUAGUCCCAUGA
This 476-nucleotide ribosomal RNA is filed under the name uncultured organism. Its description in RNAcentral is "partial 16S ribosomal RNA". It matches the Rfam family "Bacterial small subunit ribosomal RNA", at positions 333 to 800 of the family's 1533-position model. The record is from RNAcentral.